Molecule: small RNA, 957 nt
Filed under: Histoplasma capsulatum
Lineage: Eukaryota; Fungi; Ascomycota; Eurotiomycetes; Onygenales; Ajellomycetaceae
Also listed under: 1 other name
Description: hypothetical RNA
Source: RNAcentral
AGGGGAGGGGUAGGGGGUAGGAGGUAGGAGGUGGAGUUUGUACAUUAUGGGUUGGGGAUUGGUUGGGUUGGCUCUUUGGAUUUGGAUGAUUUGGGCUAUUGUUAUUACUGAAUGGACGUUUGGUUUGGGUUUGGAGUAUUAUGUUAUUGUAUGAACUUGAUUUGUAUGAUAUGGGUACGCUUUUGAGACAGCUCCUCCCCCUCGAACAUUGUUCUUCUGUUUUCUCCUCCUAUUUUUUUUCAACUUCAGAAUCCUCUUCAACACGCAACAACAAAAAAAUAAAAAUUUUAAAAAGGAGAUGAGGUUUGCAGUUUGAAAUAACACGAUCCGGUGCAACUUUUCCACAGGUAGUCAGAAUAAUGCUAUACCGAGAUACAGCCGCUCAUAAUCCUCCAAUGAAUGAUUGAGCGCAGAAACCGUGCGAUAUAGCUACUAAACUAUACAAAAGAAUGACAAGGUAUAUAUAUUCAUGUGUAAGGAAACAAAAAAAAUAAGGAAGUAAAAGCACUUUGCAGCCAUGCAUAUUCAACUAAAACAGGAAAUAUACGUAAUAUACCUUCACAAACAGAAACAGAGGAAAAUAGCAGCUAGGUAAUGUAUACACAGUAUACACAGUUUAUAUAUAAGGUUAUGUACAUCAUGCAGCAAAUGAUGAGGGGUUAUAAAACUCACAGAAGAAUAUAAUCAAAGGAUCAGAUAUAAAAUGAAGAGAAAAGCAGUAUGUAAGCCUCUCAAAUCAAUUCUAGAUAGUUUCAAUGUGUCAUUAAAAAGAAAAAGAAAAGAAAAGAAAAGAAAAGAAAAUUCAUAAAAAUUGAAGUACUCAAGCAUCAACUCAGUACUGUACAUUUAAGACGACCGAGGUAGUGGAAGAAGGGCGAAGAAGAGACAGAUCAGAGAUAAGUUAUGAACAGAAUGCAAGGGGCAAGGAAAUAAUAUUCAGAAGAAAAAAAGAAAAGG